RNAcentral lists this long non-coding RNA (264 nucleotides) under Mus musculus (house mouse). RNAcentral describes it as "long non-coding RNA chr19:10451345-10451609". The record is from RNAcentral. Lineage: Eukaryota; Metazoa; Chordata; Mammalia; Rodentia; Muridae.
GAACUGGUGGCGCUGUUUGUAUUGUGUUUGAGUCCUUGAGCGCAAGUGUUUUAUAAAAAAUAAAACAAAAAUCCACUAUCACAAAAAAAGAAAAAAAAUACAGCAAAGAGAACUGAAGACAAAAGGGAAAAAGAACCAUACAAUUUUUUUCCACCAUAUGCACCCUCUAAGCCAGCAAAAUUUUCCUCUUUGCAAAAUCAUAUUUUUGUGGGAAUGGGCCCUGCUUUUUGUGGCAAGGCCUGUUCUGAUUAAUAAAGGAUCGUG